CCCCUGAGCCUUGCACCCCGUGCGUGUGAUUCAGGAGCAAGGGUGUGUUUGUGGUUAGGCUGAGUUUUCCCAGUUUCGUCAUGAUAAAGCCAGCAGGUUUGAAUUUUGAGACACUACAAUUGUCAAGGAGGUCACAGCAGGAACAUCCCUUCUAUGCAUUCCAGGGUCCCCUGAACCAGCAUACGUGUGACUGGCAAAAUCCACAGCACUGCAUGGAAACACCACUACCAAGAAGCCCAUCAGGUUUGUUUUAGCAUUCAAACAGAAGCUGAAGAUCAGAGAGUCCAGGUGGCAGGUGUUUGCUUCUAACCUGCAGGGGAAGAAAAGAAAAAUGAGAAGAAUUUAAUUUCCCUGCAAAAAUUGAGAGCAGCUGCUGCUUACUCUUUGAGUUAAAAGCAAACAAACCACAGUCUGGCAGCUUGAAGAUGAAUGCUCUUCACGUCAGAUGCUUGCUGUGUUGUUGGGCAAUGUGCCAUGGCAUCCAUGACAGUGAUGAGUUGACUAGGACAAUUUUUACCUAACUGGACAAAGAUGAAUUGGAAUACAAAUAUACAUCAGACCUGAGGUUGGUUCUCUGAGCUCCUCUGACUGUCGGAGAAGAAAGGUUAUAUUGGAAUUAUGCUUCAAAGAUUAAAACUGGUUCUCUUCUGUUUUUGAAUGAAUUACAAUGAAUAUAUCUGGCAUUUUAAAUUUGUCUUACCUCCUCCAUUAUCUUUUCUGUAGUUCGCUUUUCGAAUGACAGAGUGAUUUAUUGAGUGUCUUUUAAAAGUUCCAUUUCACCAAACUAAUGGUGAAUAUAAAAAUCUGCCACUUGACCUAAC
Heterocephalus glaber (naked mole-rat) is the source of this 821-nucleotide long non-coding RNA. The record is from Ensembl. NCBI's taxonomy places the organism in Eukaryota, Metazoa, Chordata, Mammalia, Rodentia, Bathyergidae.